This 491-nucleotide ribosomal RNA is filed under the name uncultured bacterium. RNAcentral's name for it is "partial 16S ribosomal RNA". It matches the Rfam family "Bacterial small subunit ribosomal RNA", at positions 29 to 506 of the family's 1533-position model. The record is from RNAcentral.
AGUGAACGCUGGCGGUAGACCUAACACAUGCAAGUCGAACGGCAGCACAGUAAGAGCUUGCUCUUACGGGUGGCGAGUGGCGGACGGGUGAGGAAUACAUCGGAAUCUACUUUUUCGUGGGGGAUAACGUAGGGAAACUUACGCUAAUACCGCAUACGACCUACGGGUGAAAGCAGGGGAUCUUCGGACCUUGCGCGAUUGAAUGAGCCGAUGUCGGAUUAGCUAGUCGGCGGGGUAAAGGACCACAAAGGCGACGAUCCGUAGCUUGUCCGAGAGGAUGAUCAGCCACACGGGAACUGGGACAGGGUCCAGACUCCUACGGGGGGCAGCAGUGGGGAAUAUUGGACAUUGGGCGCAAGCCUGAUCCAGCCAUACCGCGUGGGUGAAGAAGGCCUUCGGGUUGUAAAGCCCUUUUGUUGGGAAAGAAAAGCAGCAGGUUAAUACCCCGCUGUUCUGACGGUACCCAAAGAAUAAGCACCGGCUAACUUCGU